RNAcentral lists this ribosomal RNA (917 nucleotides) under uncultured Spirochaeta sp. RNAcentral describes it as "bacterial SSU rRNA". It matches the Rfam family "Bacterial small subunit ribosomal RNA", at positions 8 to 916 of the family's 1533-position model. Lineage: Bacteria; Pseudomonadati; Spirochaetota; Spirochaetia; Spirochaetales; Spirochaetaceae. The record is from RNAcentral.
AGAGUUUGAUCCUGGCUCAGAACGAACGCUGGCGGCGCGUUUUAAGCAUGCAAGUCGAACGGUAGAAAGGUGCUUGCACCUUUUGAGAGUGGCGAACGGGUGAGUAACACGUAGAUAAUCUGCCUUUGGAUUGGGGAUAGCAUAUGGAAACAUAUGGUAAUACCGAAUAAGAUCUUUGCAUCAUAAGAUGUAUAGAGGAAAGGUGCUUAGGCACCGUCCGGCCAUGAGUCUGCGGUUCAUUAGCUGGUUGGUAGGGUAAAGGCCUACCAAGGCGACGAUGAAUAGCCAGCCUGAGAGGGUGGACGGCCACACUGGGACUGAGACACGGCCCAGACUCCUACAGGCAGCAGCUAAGAAUCUUCCGCAAUGGGGGGAACCCUGACGGAGCGACGCCGCGUGAACGAUGAAGGCGGAAACGUUGUAAAGUUCUUUUCUUGGGGAGGAAUAAGUCUGGUAGGUAAUGACCGGAUGAUGACGUUAACCAAGGAAUAAGCCCCGGCUAAUUACGUGCCAGCAGCCGCGGUAACACGUAAGGGGCAAGCGUUGUUCGGAAUUAUUGGGCGUAAAGGGCGCGUAGGCGGUUUUACAAGCCUGGUGUGAAAUACCUCAGCUUAACUGAGGAAACGCGCUGGGAACUGUAAGACUAGAAUCUAGGAGGGGAAGCUGGAAUUCCUGGUGUAGGGGUGAAAUCUGUAGAUAUCAGGAAGAACACCGGUGGCGAAGGCGAGCUUCUGGCCAUAGAUUGACGCUGAGGCGCGAAAGCGUGGGGAGCGAACAGGAUUAGAUACCCUGGUAGUCCACGCUGUAAACGAUGUGCACUAGGUGUUGGGCCUUAAGGCUCAGUGCCGUAGCUAACGCGUUAAGUGCACCGCCUGGGGAGUAUGCCCCGCAAGGGUGAAACUCAAAGGAAUUGACGG